Molecule: long non-coding RNA, 666 nt
Organism: Ipomoea triloba (trilobed morning glory)
Lineage: Eukaryota; Viridiplantae; Streptophyta; Magnoliopsida; Solanales; Convolvulaceae
Exons: 3
Source: RefSeq, a predicted model, not a curated record
UCUUUUCCAGUUCUCUAAGUUCGUUCUCUCAUAGUCUCAUUUAUCUCCUCUCUUCGUCUCUACUCUCUAUUCUCUAUUCUCUAAUCCUGAUUCCUCUUCCGAGUUUUCCAUUUCUCUCUUUGUCUCUACGCAAAACCCGUCUCUCCCAUACUCCCCUUUGAGUCUUCUAUGGGAAUCGAUGUCGUUGUGGUCUUUGUUUUGGACUCUGGUGGAAGCCUCACAAAGACGUCGUUCUUGGGUAUUGUCGUUCUGAACUUCUACUAUUCGCCGCAAUCGCGGGUGGAAAUCCAUAGCCCGACGUUGAUAUUUGAAGGCUUGAAGCCCGAGUUCUCAAGAGGGAAAAUUUGAGAAAACAAAGUGUAAGGAGGGGGAAAUGGAAAAUCUAACUAAGGAUCAAGGGGAAGGUCAACCUUCAAGCGACAAGAAGAUCAAACACACUUAUACUUUUGAAGUUCAUGAGCUCUCAAACUAUAGGGAAUGACGACAAGGAGAAAAAGGUGAGAUUGCAACCUUGAGGUGAUCGUCGGGCCCCCAAUGGAGGGUUCACAUAUGCACAUUUUUUAGUAACGGUUGAGAGACAUUUUAUAAACAUAAUAGUCUUGACAUUGGUCAAGUUGUAUUGUAUACAUAUGUUGCACGUAUGAACUUUGAUGUUAAAUGUUUAAC